CGUGUAGGCGGCCAAGCAGGUCUGUUGUGAAAACUGGAGGCUCAACCUCCAGACGUCGACAGAAACCGCUUGGCUAGAGUCCGGAAGAGGAGAGUGGAAUUCCUGGUGUAGCGGUGAAAUGCGCAGAUAUCAGGAAGAACACCAAUGGCGAAGGCAGCUCUCUGGGAGGUACUGACGCUGAGCGACGAAGCGUGGGAGCGAACA
This 204-nucleotide ribosomal RNA is filed under the name uncultured bacterium. RNAcentral's name for it is "partial 16S ribosomal RNA". It matches the Rfam family "Bacterial small subunit ribosomal RNA", at positions 568 to 774 of the family's 1533-position model. The record is from RNAcentral.